Molecule: non-coding RNA, 1194 nt
Organism: Taeniopygia guttata (zebra finch)
Lineage: Eukaryota; Metazoa; Chordata; Aves; Passeriformes; Estrildidae
Source: RefSeq, a predicted model, not a curated record
UUCUGUGGCUCAAGCUACAGUUUUUAGUUUUGAUUGGAGUUACUGUGCCCAGGCUUUUUUAGCAGGAGGACUGGAUUGCUACCAGUGUCAUGUCCCAAAGCCUGGCAGCAGUUUUGAUCUGCACUGUUGUGAGAUGAAGAUGAAACCCUUCCUAACCCUCUCUGGUCAUCUGAAGAGCAGCACUGCCCUGCCUGAAAGGAGUUCUGUCCACCAGCUCAGCCGUGGGCUCAGUUUAAUCCUCUGAAAUGCCUCCGAGCGUUCUUGCCAAAAUCCAUGUGCUUUUCUUGUCCAGAACUCUCCUGACCUGAUUGAAAUGCCAGGAUUCAUUUGUGGCUCCGUGUGUCCCGUGUUUUCCUGGGCAGCAGAUUCCCUCAGCUCCAUAAAAACGGUGGGAACACAUCCAGAGGGAACGGCCCUCACUGGGAACUGAGCUUUGAUUCCUGCAGCAGCCACCUGAGGUUUCUCCUCUAAAGGGAAUUUUUGUAGAUGUGGCCCAAAGUGACUCUGAGGAAGGUGAACAUUGGGAGCUGCCCAUGAGCAGAGCCUCAGCUCUGAGCUGGCCCUAAAGUCACCAGCCCACGGGGCCAGAACCAGGUGAUCUUUGAGGUGACACCCAGCCCAAGCCAUUCUGUGAUCCUGUGACAAUGGGAAGGACCAGAAGCAGCCCAGGCAGGGGGACAGGAGGAAUCCCCCUGUCAGAGCUGCUCUUUUCUUGCAGCACUUCUGCCCUGUGGAUUGGCCAGAGUCCCAGAGCUUGGUGUUAAAUCCCCUCCACAUGAAGAGAAAAGGUGUUCUGUGAGUGCAGCUGCAGAUGCAGAAGAGGAUGAUGCAGAUGAUGAUGCAGAAGAGCUCUUGGGCAUGUUGGAGAAGGAAUUUCUGUGUCCCAAAAGGCUCCUUGGAAAUGGAGCCUCCCCCUGCAGCGCUCCCUGGGAGCCACCUCAUCCCUCUGAGGGCUCUAACUCAGCCUGGCGUGUUUGGGGUGAUCCAGGGCAGCGUGGCUGCUGCUCUGCUCUGGGAAUAUUGAUAUGGAGCACUCACUUGUCUGUGCCUUCAAUUGCAAAGGGCUUUUUAAAAUUGAUUACUGGUCUGGCUCAAGUUAUUGGAUGACCCUGUAAAUACAGAGCGAGGAUGGGCGUUUUAUGAUGUCUGACUUCCCUACAAUAUUUUUUUAUUAAGUAAACGGUAAUGGAAAUA